UACAGAGGGGGCAAGCGUUGUUCGGAAUUACUGGGCGUAAAGGGCGCGUAGGCGGCCUUCUAAGUCGAACGUGAAAUCCCCGGGCUCAACCCGGGAACUGCGUCCGAUACUGGAAGGCUUGAGUUCGGGAGAGGGAUGCGGAAUUCCAGGUGUAGCGGUGAAAUUCGUAGAUAUUCGCAAGAACACCAGUGGCGAAGGCGGCUCACUGGCCCGAUACUGACGCUGAGGUGCGAAAGCGUGGGGAGCAAACAGG
RNAcentral lists this ribosomal RNA (253 nucleotides) under uncultured bacterium. RNAcentral describes it as "partial 16S ribosomal RNA". It matches the Rfam family "Bacterial small subunit ribosomal RNA", at positions 524 to 776 of the family's 1533-position model. The record is from RNAcentral.